AUGAACGCUGGCGGCGUGCCUAAUACAUGCAAGUCGAGCGAACAGACGAGGAGCUUGCUCCUCUGACGUUAGCGGCGGACGGGUGAGUAACACGUGGAUAACCUACCUAUAAGACUGGGAUAACUUCGGGAAACCGGAGCUAAUACCGGAUAAUAUAUUGAACCGCAUGGUUCAAUAGUGAAAGACGGUUUUGCUGUCACUUAUAGAUGGAUCCGCGCCGCAUUAGCUAGUUGGUAAGGUAACGGCUUACCAAGGCGACGAUGCGUAGCCGACCUGAGAGGGUGUUCGGCCACACUGGAACUGAGACACGGUCCAGACUCCUACGGGAGGCAGCAGUAGGGAAUCUUCCGCAAUGGGCGAAAGCCUGACGGAGCAACGCCGCGUGAGUGAUGAAGGUCUUCGGAUCGUAAAACUCUGUUAUUAGGGAAGAACAAAUGUGUAAGUAACUAUGCACGUCUUGACGGUACCUAAUCAGAAAGCCACGGCUAACUACGUG
RNAcentral lists this ribosomal RNA (496 nucleotides) under uncultured bacterium. RNAcentral describes it as "partial 16S ribosomal RNA". It matches the Rfam family "Bacterial small subunit ribosomal RNA", at positions 29 to 507 of the family's 1533-position model. The record is from RNAcentral.